Epinephelus lanceolatus (giant grouper) is the source of this 692-nucleotide non-coding RNA. The record is from RefSeq and is a predicted model, not a curated record. NCBI's taxonomy places the organism in Eukaryota, Metazoa, Chordata, Actinopteri, Perciformes, Serranidae.
CACUAACAUUUGCUGUUUGUCACACAGGUGGUCCUCCUCGUCCAGGCAUGCUACCAACGCCCCCUAUGGGAGGUCCGCCUAUGAUGCCCAUGAUGGGGCCUCCACCACAUGGAAUGAUGCCCGGUGGACCAGGAGGCAUGAGGCCGCCGAUGGGAGGACCCAUGCAGAUGAUGCCAGGACCGCCACACAUGAUGCGUCAUCCUCGCCCGAUGAUGAUGCCAGUCAGGCCGGGCAUGAUGCGACCAGACAGAUAAGACCGGUUGGAUUUUCUCCGUUCUUUGUUGCCAUGAACAGACACUGUCUAGUGAGGACACUUCGGUUAACACUCGGAUUUUUCAGCACAACUUAUGAAACUGUCAAAUGUCCAAACUCCUCAAACCUGAAUUCCCUGAUUCAAUAAUGUUAUUUUUGUAUAACAACUUCAUUUUCUUGUGCCAGAAUCGUGGUAUUUAUUACUAUUCACCUCACUAGAAUACAUUUCGACCUUUUUUUAUUUUUUUUAAACAUCCUCUUGUGUGUUAACAUCAAGUGUGAAAUAUCUCGUCUUACUUUGACAAACUGUUCAGCAGGCACAUUUAAAGAGCCUGUUUGAUAUGACAAUAUUUGUUACUAUAUUUUUACUUUUGUUUUAGGUUUUACGUGUUUUUGUUGAAUGUCAUUACUUUGAGAAUAAAACAGUGAUUUCAAACCUG